Molecule: transfer RNA, 72 nt
Filed under: Camelus bactrianus (Bactrian camel)
Lineage: Eukaryota; Metazoa; Chordata; Mammalia; Artiodactyla; Camelidae
Also listed under: 2 other names
Rfam family: tRNA
About the family: Transfer RNA (tRNA) molecules are approximately 80 nucleotides in length.
Source: Rfam by way of RNAcentral
GAGGGUAUAGCUCAGUGGUAGAGUACAUGCUUAGCAUGCACAAGGUCCUGGGUUCAAUCCCUAGUGCCUCCA